RNAcentral lists this ribosomal RNA (253 nucleotides) under uncultured bacterium. RNAcentral's name for it is "partial 16S ribosomal RNA". It matches the Rfam family "Bacterial small subunit ribosomal RNA", at positions 524 to 776 of the family's 1533-position model. The record is from RNAcentral.
UACGUAGGGCGCGAGCGUUGUCCGGAAUUAUUGGGCGUAAAGAGCUCGUAGGCGGCUUGUCACGUCGGGUGUGAAAGACCGGGGCUUAACUCCGGUUCUGCAUUCGAUACGGGCUAGCUAGAGUGUGGUAGGGGAGAUCGGAAUUCCUGGUGUAGCGGUUAAAUGCGCAGAUAUCAGGAGGAACACCGGUGGCGAAGGCGGAUCUCUGGGCCAUUACUGACGCUGAGGAGCGAAAGCGUGGGGAGCGAACAGG